Fukomys damarensis (Damara mole-rat) is the source of this 334-nucleotide unclassified non-coding RNA. Its record names the gene 7SK. It matches the Rfam family "7SK RNA". From Rfam's summary of the family: 7SK was discovered as an abundant small nuclear RNA in the mid-70s but a possible function has only recently been suggested. Two independent studies have found that 7SK RNA binds the CDK9/cyclin T complex (known as elongation factor P-TEFb). The record is from Ensembl. Lineage: Eukaryota; Metazoa; Chordata; Mammalia; Rodentia; Bathyergidae.
GGAUACGAGGGUGAUCUGACUGCAACAUCUAUCAACCCACUGAUCGCCAGGGCUGGUUCCACUGGUCUGGUUGGCUAGGCGGGUGUCCCCUUCUCCCUCACCCCUCCAUGUUCAUCCCUCCCAAAUCUGCGCACUCCCUCGAAGAGGACAGCCAUCCCCAAUAGAUGAGGACCAUUUCCUUGGUCAAGGGUAUAUCAGUAGCUACAUUCCUCUGCUAGAACCUCCAAACAAACAAUCUCUCAAGAAUGUAUCAGAGAAGUCUAUGUAGUUUAAAAUGACUAAAUGUCCAGCAAAAAAGCUCAGAAGUCAGAAUGUAGCUGUAUACUUCAUAUUU